Nicotiana attenuata is the source of this 2649-nucleotide long non-coding RNA. RefSeq lists it as uncharacterized. The record is from RefSeq and is a predicted model, not a curated record. NCBI's taxonomy places the organism in Eukaryota, Viridiplantae, Streptophyta, Magnoliopsida, Solanales, Solanaceae. The transcript has 6 exons.
UAGGCUUUUUGCUUUUUUUUUUUUUUUUUUUUUGCUUAUAUGAAUUACGAUGCGUAUGCCUUAGUUGGAACAACGGAGAUUUUUGGUGGUAUUUGUACGUAUUCUGAUUGUUGUGCUUCCGUCAUGAUUUUGUUUUUCUCUGAGUUUAUAGGAAAUUAUGAUUGUUGUGUGUUGAACAAGUAUGAGAAAAAUUUGUUAAGGAUCGUGUUUUCCGUGCUUGAGGUCACAAUCCAUUUGUUUGCUUCAGUAGUUAAUUGGUGAUAUGUAUGUUGCAUGUGUUACUUUGUGAUUUGUUCCUUGGGCUUGUAUUUAUGUUCAGAUCCCUGCACAUCUUAUGAAAUUAGUGUAUAUUCGUUGGAGCAGUAAUAGUUCUUCAUUGAGUUGGAGCCUUGAAAAUAGAAUCCUUGGUGGUAACAGGUAACGAUAAAACUCCAAUGCCACUAUUGAGCCGGUCAGCAUUGUCUUUAGAGCUAAAAUCUGCAUGUCUAGCUUCUGCAAUGAUAUACCGAUGCCUCAAUUCCACAUUGCAUGAUUAGCAGCUUGCGAAAUAAUAACACCAACUUACAGAUGGCUGAGAAUCUGAAUGCAUUGGGUUCUCAUUUAUCACAGAUGACACUGUCUGCAAACUGCUAGUCAAAGUCUCAAUUCCCCUCUUAAGACCCUGGAUUUUUGCAUUGCUUUCAAUUAAAAAUUGACCGUCAAUUCCCCCACCACUUUGUUUGACAUUCGCCUUUGUGUACUCCAUUAGCUUUCCACAAAGCUGGCUCCUCUCCCUAAGCAAAUUGAGCCCCUGAAUUUGCAAGCAGCAAACUCGAUUGCACAAUUCCUGAUUGCAAACUCGAUUGAUACCUGUCUCUCCUAUUUGAUGGUUCUGAUUCUUCUUAUAAAGUUUGAAAUUGUUGCUUGUGUCUGUUUGUUUGCAAACAGAACAUUGUCUUUUGUUUGCUUUUGUUUGUUUCUUGUCUCUGUGCAUACACAUUUUUUUUUCUCUCUAAAUGUAACUAUUACAGAUGUUAGGUUCGUUGAUGAAACUUAGAGAUCUUAACUGAACCUAGACAAAUUUUACAGUGAUGACAUGAAUCAUCAAAGAGAUCAUGUGUUAAAUCAUAUGAGAAAGUUAUAGACCAAUUGGAGAGGAUCAUUGCACAAGUAUGUGAAGUCUAAGCCAUUGCAUGAAGCACUAAAAGUCCGGUAGGAGAUAGACAAGAGUGAUUGGGAAUGGUUGGUCAAGGAACAUUUUUUAAGUGAAAAAUUUAAGGAAACAAGUAUUAGAAACUCGAUCAAUAGGUCUAAGUUGAGAAUGCCUCAUCGUACGGGUAGCAAGCCGAUUAGAGAAAUUAUUUACGAACUGGGAGGCUAAGACGGUAAUCCAUCGAACAUGGCGACUAUCUUCUUUGAGACUCACAAGAAAAAUGACACGCUUGUAGAACCUGAAGCUAGUAAAAAAUAUGCUGAGAUACAAGAAGUGGUACAAUCUGAGCCAUCUCUUACGAAUAUCGAGGUAGUAGAAAGAUGCUUCGGACCUCAAAACAAGUGUCACGUGGUUAGAUUAGGGGGUGGUAUAACCACUAAGGAGUUGAAAGGGCGGUAGCUCCUCAAAGACUGCAAUACUGGCUGAGCUAAAUGCAACUCGAAAAGAAAAAGAAUCACUACAGAUCGAGCUGAAUGCAACUAAAAAAGCAAAAGAAUCACUAGAAAUACGUAUGGAUGACAUAGAUUCUAAGUAUGCACAUAUUAUAAGCUUACUGGGUGAUCAACCUUCAUCAGCACCAUCUUCAAGUCAACAAAGUACAAGCUAAAAUUAAUAUUUUUACAGAUAAUGCAGAUGCUUCAAAAAGCUUCUGAUACUCACACAGCAAAGAAGAACCUUUUCCUUCAAGAUCUAGGGUGGAUGUCCGUAAGGUGAAGUUGAGAAUGUCAGGCUCCGUAGCUUUUUCAAGCAGCUUAUCAAACUCUUGCUUAGUUAAUUGACAUUCUUCCUGCAAAAGAUGCAUCUCUGAUUCCAUGCCAGCCAACCGUGCAUCACUCAUGUGGACAAAUCUGCCAUGUUCACAAAUUUUUGCAUCUAAAGAAAUCCUCAGCUCCUCCAUUGCAUGAAGCGUCAAUUCCUUCUCUUUCUCCAAAGUUGAAUGCCUUUGUUCCAGUCCUGAAUACCUUCCCUGCACAUCAUGCAGUGCAACUUGUGCAGCCUGCAAAUGAAAUUUUGUCGAUGUUGAUCAUGAAGCAGACAUGGAUUUGUUAUAUGUUCAGUAGUGGCAGAAACGUAGGAAAUAAUUAAUAAAAACAUUGAACAAGUUUUUAGAAAGAGUUAAUAAAAGGCACAUAAAUAUAUGUAUGGGUGUUAAACUAAAGGUACCUCCACUAAAAGCAUAAGUAGUUAGAGAGGGGAGACAUUUAUUCAAAUACCAGAAACAAACAAAAAGAUUAGAUCGUGAAGAAUUACCAUAGAGAAUUUGAAGCAUUGCUAGUGGUUUGAAGUCUUGCUCACGAGUUUUAUGUGUGGGGAGGGUGUCCUGUUUGCAGUGGGAAUCAACAGUUUCAAAUGAUUAUAAUAAGAUAGGGAGGUUGCGAAGUUUUUUUAUUUGAUGAAGAGAGACCACCGAUAGCAUCAACUAGACCUCGUGAAAGAGCAUCAUUUCUAGUCCAGAC